GGAGUAAUAUCUGCACAUGCGCAGUUUCAAAACAACACAGGAAGUAAGAAGAUUCAAACCACAACGAUCACUCUCAGCUCGUUUAGAUCGGCGCCAUAAAAUGGGAAUCAAAAGAUGAAGAUUACAGUACAAAUUGAGAACGUGCACAGAAAGCUUUUCUUAAUGUGGACGCAGGUUUACAGCUCAGCCUCUGUCCCAUAUCUGGUUGAGGAGACUGUGGAUAAUCCAGAACAUCACCAGUGGA
Danio rerio (zebrafish) is the source of this 244-nucleotide non-coding RNA. The record is from RefSeq and is a predicted model, not a curated record. NCBI's taxonomy places the organism in Eukaryota, Metazoa, Chordata, Actinopteri, Cypriniformes, Danionidae.